Molecule: small nuclear RNA, 165 nt
Filed under: Mus caroli (Ryukyu mouse)
Lineage: Eukaryota; Metazoa; Chordata; Mammalia; Rodentia; Muridae
Description: snRNA (MGP_CAROLIEiJ_G0034805.1)
Rfam family: U1 spliceosomal RNA
About the family: U1 is a small nuclear RNA (snRNA) component of the spliceosome (involved in pre-mRNA splicing). Its 5' end forms complementary base pairs with the 5' splice junction, thus defining the 5' donor site of an intron.
Source: RNAcentral
AUACUUUACCUGACAAGGGAGGGGCCAUGAACAUGAAGGCAAUUUUCCCAGGGCGAGGCUUAUCCAUUGCACUCCGGGUAUGCUGAGCCCUAAGGUUUCCCCAAAUGUGGGAAACUUAACUGUAUAACUUGUGAUCAUGGGGGACAGAGAUUGUGCUCUCCCCUG